GUGCCAGCCGCCGCGGUAAUACGAGGGAUGCAAGCGUUAUCCGGAAUUAUUGGGCGUAAAGCGUCCGCAGGUGGCUUUGUAAGUCUGUCGUUAAAGCGUGGAGCUCAACUCCAUAUCGGCGAUGGAAACUACAAGACUAGAGUUUGGUAGGGGUCACGGGAAUUCCUAGUGUAGCGGUGAAAUGCGUAGAUAUUAGGAAGAACACCAGCGGCGAAAGCGCGUGACUGGGCCAAUACUGACACUCAUGGACGAAAGCUAGGGGAGCGAAAGGGAUUAGAUACCCCUGUAGUCCUAGCCGUAAACGAUGAUAACUAGGUGUUGCUCGUAUCGACCCGAGCAGUGCCGUAGCCAACGCGUUAAGUUAUCCGCCUGGGAGUACGCACGCAAGUGUGAAACUCAAAGGAAUUGACGGGGGCCCGCACAAGCGGUGGAGUAUGUGGUUUAAUUCGAUGCAACGCGAAGAACCUUACCAAGGCUUGACAUGUCGCGAAUUCCCUUGAAAGGGGGAAGUGCCUUCGGGAGCGCGAACACAGGUGGUGCAUGGCUGUCGUCAGCUCGUGUCGUGAGAUGUUGGGUUAAGUCCCGCAACGAGCGCAACCCUCGUUUUUAGUUGCCAUCAUUUAGUUGGGCACUCUAGAGAGACUGCCGGUGACAAACCGGAGGAAGGUGGGGAUGACGUCAAGUCAGCAUGCCCCUUACGUCUUGGGCUACACACGUACUACAAUGCUACGGACAAAGGGCUGCCAACUCGCGAGAGUGCGCUAAUCCCAUAAACCGUGGCUCAGUUCAGAUCGUAGGCUGCAACUCGCCUACGUGAAGGCGGAAUCGCUAGUAAUCGCAGGUCAGCAUACUGCGGUGAAUACGUUCCCGGGCCUUGUACACACCGCCCGUCACACCAUGGAAGUCGGCCACGCCCGAAGCCGUUACCCUAACCGUAAGGAGGGGGGCGUCUAAGGCAGGGCUAAUGACUGGGGUGAAGUCGUAACAAGGUAACC
This 995-nucleotide ribosomal RNA is filed under the name uncultured cyanobacterium. RNAcentral describes it as "bacterial SSU rRNA". It matches the Rfam family "Bacterial small subunit ribosomal RNA", at positions 505 to 1501 of the family's 1533-position model. Lineage: Bacteria; Bacillati; Cyanobacteriota. The record is from RNAcentral.